RNAcentral lists this unclassified non-coding RNA (394 nucleotides) under fungal sp. Its description in RNAcentral is "partial internal transcribed spacer region". The stretch from base 1 to 46 matches the Rfam family "Eukaryotic small subunit ribosomal RNA", at positions 1786 to 1831 of the family's 1831-position model. The record is from RNAcentral. Lineage: Eukaryota; Fungi.
AAGUCGUAACAAGGUCUCCGUAGGUGAACCUGCGGAGGGAUCAUUAACACUGAUCAAUGAUUCAUAAGUCGAAAGACUCAUGUUUCGUUGUAUCUAUCCAUACACUGUUGAACUAGGUUGCUUUUGACAACCAAUCCUUAUCCCCGAGGCUUAGAUACUGUUUAGAUGGAUGUGUACAGGGGGAUGUGUUGUAAUGACACAUCUUGAUUCAUCUAGACAUGGGAAACCAAGGUAUCUUAGCUUUGGACUGAAUGACUAGCGCCCGUACAAUGGUUAACACUAUUUCACCCCUAUGACAAUUGACUGAUUUAAUGGAGUCAACUGAAAAGUUGAUCUCUUUCCAUGAUUAUCUAUAAUCUAAGCACAACUCUUAGCAACGGAUAUCUUGGUUCUC